This is a non-coding RNA of Paramuricea clavata, 578 nucleotides long. The record is from the annotation of a GenBank genome assembly. Lineage: Eukaryota; Metazoa; Cnidaria; Anthozoa; Malacalcyonacea; Plexauridae.
GAAAUAGGCUACGUUUCGCUACCAUACGGUCAGAAUGGAAUAACGGGGCUGAAUAUGACUCGUGUUUACUAAAAUAUAAGCCAUAUUAAAUGCUAUCAAGAAGCUUGAAAAUUAUGCCGAAUCUCCGACUAAAAAUGUUUUGACAACAUAGUCAUUGUCAGGCAAAUAUUUCCAAUCUCCUCAGCUACUAGACUUAUAUUAAACCUGUCAAGUAGAAAGCGUAGUUUUGUAUACCAGUAUGGUCCAGUGUUGAUCACAACUUGCGAGUAUAUAAAUAACAUCAACGAAUAUACGACCAUUGCUCAGGCUCAGUAUCGUAAAUUUGUAUAUUUUUUUUUUAGUUGAGCACAUUUUUAAUACAGUAUGAAUUUGGUUAUGUAGAUAUCGAACAUGAUCAACGAACACUGUCGUAUUUACAAGGUUAUUUGUAUAUAUAAAUUUUCCGCCAUAUUAAAAAUACUGAAAUCUGCUAGGCGUUCUGAAGCACCUUUAGCGGUGACGUCACACCUAGGUCCCAGUCUCGUACUACAUGAACGUUUUUUUCUCGCGCUUGCUUCAGAACGACUGGGACUAGGCUG